GAAAAUCUACGGAACACAGUAUCACCACCGUGUGUGAGGCGGGAGCCACAAUGAAAGCUUUACAAAAAUGGGUGAUCAAAAGAUACACAGUAUCCCCACCGUGUGUGAGGCGGGAGCCCCAAUAAAAGCUUUACAGAAAAUGGGUGACCAAAAGAUCGUACUUCCUCACUUUUUUUUUCUGUGGGUGAGGGAUCUAUUUAUGUAUAAGCCAUUGAUAUGCAUAUUGUUUCUUUAUUGUUGUAAG
This 244-nucleotide unclassified non-coding RNA is filed under the name Hevea brasiliensis (rubber tree). The record is from RNAcentral. Lineage: Eukaryota; Viridiplantae; Streptophyta; Magnoliopsida; Malpighiales; Euphorbiaceae.